CCCUUAGAUGUUCUGGGCAGCACGCGCGCUACAAUGGUCUUCGCAAACGGAUGCAUUCUCGAAGGAGAAUGCCAAUCUUGGAAUCUAUGCCUUGGUCGGGACAGUUGCUUGCAAUUUUUCGACUCGAACCAGGAAUUCCUUGUAAUCGUGAUUCAUCACAUCACGAUGAAUACGUCCCUGUCCUUUGUACACACCGCCCGUCGCUCCUACCGAUCGAAGAGUUAGGUGAAUUGUUUUGAUCGAUAAGAUUUGACUAUGGUCAACUCUCGUUGUGAAAUUCUGUGAAUCUGACUGUUUAGAGGAGGGAAAAGUCGUAACA
RNAcentral lists this ribosomal RNA (319 nucleotides) under uncultured eukaryote. RNAcentral's name for it is "partial 18S ribosomal RNA". It matches the Rfam family "Eukaryotic small subunit ribosomal RNA", at positions 1470 to 1796 of the family's 1831-position model. The record is from RNAcentral.